Long non-coding RNA from Ceratitis capitata (Mediterranean fruit fly), 1204 nucleotides. RefSeq lists it as uncharacterized. The transcript has 3 exons. NCBI's taxonomy places the organism in Eukaryota, Metazoa, Arthropoda, Insecta, Diptera, Tephritidae. The record is from RefSeq and is a predicted model, not a curated record.
UUAAAAUUUAAAUAAAUCUAGUUAUAAAAUGAAAUUUGAAAAUGAAGAGGAGUAGAAAAAUUAAUAUAGCCACUGCGGUGCUUUGUUUAGUGAAUACCUUAAAAGCAUGGAAAAAUAAGAGAACUCAUCAAAGGAAACGAAAGCUGUGGUGGAUUAGACCAGGUUAAAGGAAUACUUCCACCUCUGGAUUUUAUGCCACACUCCGUUCCAAGUUGAUUUCUCAGGACCCAAAGUGGUCGAAACAUUUUCUAAGAAUGAGUGUGGAAGACUUCGAUAUUUCACUCGAGCAUGUAACUAUAACAUAUACAAAAAAUAUACCUGUUUCCGUGAAGCAAUUUUAGUCGGCGAAAGACUUGCCGUAACAUUGAGAUAUUUAGCCACUGGCGAAAGCUUCUCUAGCCUGAUGACUGUUUUCCUAUUGGGGAAAACAACCAUCUACCAUAUAAUACAUGAAACUUGUGGUGCUAUUUUUAAAGCUCUAGAAGAUGAAUUUUCAAAAGUUCCGAGCACUUAUGAGGAAUGGACACAAGUAGCGGACCGAUUUUACUAGCGAUGUAAUUUCCCUAAUUGCUGGGGAGCAUUAGAUGGGAAACACAUAGCGCUUCAGGCGCCUGCAAACAACGUCGUUCUGAUGGAUAUGGUUGAUGCCGAAAACAAAUUUUUGUUUGUGGAAGUUGCAGCAUACGAUUGUGAAUCUAGUGGCGACUUUUUCACAACGAAAAAUUGUUACAAGACAAUAAAAUUUAAUUUCAUUAAUUACAAUAUAUUUUUAUUUUAAAACAUUCAGUUGCCCUCUUUCAACGACUUUGGCAGAAAACUCUUUAAAUAUUCCGCCUCGGAGGCCACUUCCACACGAAAGUGGCGAAAUGCGAUCUUUUCCCUUGAAAACAUUGUCACGAGCACGAAAUGUGGUGGAAAAUGUGUUCGGCAUAUGCGCAUCUUGUUUCCGAAUUCUCAAAAGACCAAUGGAUGUGACUCCCGAACAUGACAAUGACGCGAAUAGCAUUACUACUCCAGGUAAUUAGCGAAUAGAGUUAGGGGAAACUGGAACGCUCCCAUCAGUUCGAUCAAGCAGCGUUUUAGAAAGGUCAACAAACAACGCAAUAAAUGUCCGUGAACGCUUUAUGGAGUACUUUAUGACUUAUGACGAUACUGAACUCGUCUAAUGAGGAACAUGAAAAAAAAUAAUAAAAUAUUAAAUAUU